CACGUAGGGACCAAGCGUUGUCCGGAUUUAUUGGGCGUAAAGAGCUCGUAGGCGGUUUGGUAAGUCGGGUGUGAAAACUCAGGGCUUAACCCUGAGACGCCACCCGAUACUGCCAUGACUUGAGUCCGGUAGGGGAGUGGGGAAUUCCUGGUGUAGCGGUGAAAUGCGCAGAUAUCAGGAGGAACACCGGUGGCGAAGGCGCCACUCUGGGCCGGUACUGACGCUGAGGAGCGAAAGCGUGGGUAGCAAA
Molecule: ribosomal RNA, 250 nt
Filed under: uncultured bacterium
Lineage: Bacteria
Description: partial 16S ribosomal RNA
Rfam family: Bacterial small subunit ribosomal RNA
Source: RNAcentral